RNAcentral lists this ribosomal RNA (2753 nucleotides) under Shigella flexneri 51576. RNAcentral's name for it is "bacterial LSU rRNA". It matches the Rfam family "Bacterial large subunit ribosomal RNA". Lineage: Bacteria; Pseudomonadati; Pseudomonadota; Gammaproteobacteria; Enterobacterales; Enterobacteriaceae. The record is from RNAcentral.
UGGCAGUCAGAGGCGAUGAAGGACGUGCUAAUCUGCGAUAAGCGUCGGUAAGGUGAUAUGAACCGUUAUAACCGGCGAUUUCCGAAUGGGGAAACCCAGUGUGAUUCGUCACACUAUCAUUAACUGAAUCCAUAGGUUAAUGAGGCGAACCGGGGGAACUGAAACAUCUAAGUACCCCGAGGAAAAGAAAUCAACCGAGAUUCCCCCAGUAGCGGCGAGCGAACGGGGAGCAGCCCAGAGCCUGAAUCAGUGUGUGUGUUAGUGGAAGCGUCUGGAAAGGCGUGCGAUACAGGGUGACAGCCCCGUACACAAAAAUGCACAUACUGUGAGCUCGAUGAGUAGGGCGGGACACGUGGUAUCCUGUCUGAAUAUGGGGGGACCAUCCUCCAAGGCUAAAUACUCCUGACUGACCGAUAGUGAACCAGUACCGUGAGGGAAAGGCGAAAAGAACCCCGGCGAGGGGAGUGAAAAAGAACCUGAAACCGUGUACGUACAAGCAGUGGGAGCACGCUUAGGCGUGUGACUGCGUACCUUUUGUAUAAUGGGUCAGCGACUUAUAUUCUGUAGCAAGGUUAACCGAAUAGGGGAGCCGAAGGGAAACCGAGUCUUAACUGGGCGUUAAGUUGCAGGGUAUAGACCCGAAACCCGGUGAUCUAGCCAUGGGCAGGUUGAAGGUUGGGUAACACUAACUGGAGGACCGAACCGACUAAUGUUGAAAAAUUAGCGGAUGACUUGUGGCUGGGGGUGAAAGGCCAAUCAAACCGGGAGAUAGCUGGUUCUCCCCGAAAGCUAUUUAGGUAGCGCCUCGUGAAUUCAUCUCCGGGGGUAGAGCACUGUUUCGGCAAGGGGGUCAUCCCGACUUACCAACCCGAUGCAAACUGCGAAUACCGGAGAAUGUUAUCACGGGAGACACACGGCGGGUGCUAACGUCCGUCGUGAAGAGGGAAACAACCCAGACCGCCAGCUAAGGUCCCAAAGUCAUGGUUAAGUGGGAAACGAUGUGGGAAGGCCCAGACAGCCAGGAUGUUGGCUUAGAAGCAGCCAUCAUUUAAAGAAAGCGUAAUAGCUCACUGGUCGAGUCGGCCUGCGCGGAAGAUGUAACGGGGCUAAACCAUGCACCGAAGCUGCGGCAGCGACGCUUAUGCGUUGUUGGGUAGGGGAGCGUUCUGUAAGCCUGUGAAGGUGUGCUGUGAGGUAUGCUGGAGGUAUCAGAAGUGCGAAUGCUGACAUAAGUAACGAUAAAGCGGGUGAAAAGCCCGCUCGCCGGAAGACCAAGGGUUCCUGUCCAACGUUAAUCGGGGCAGGGUGAGUCGACCCCUAAGGCGAGGCCGAAAGGCGUAGUCGAUGGGAAACAGGUUAAUAUUCCUGUACUUGGUGUUACUGCGAAGGGGGGACGGAGAAGGCUAUGUUGGCCGGGCGACGGUUGUCCCGGUUUAAGCGUGUAGGCUGGUUUUCCAGGCAAAUCCGGAAAAUCAAGGCCGAGGCGUGAUGACGAGGCACUACGGUGCUGAAGCAACAAAUGCCCUGCUUCCAGGAAAAGCCUCUAAGCAUCAGGUAACAUCAAAUCGUACCCCAAACCGACACAGGUGGUCAGGUAGAGAAUACCAAGGCGCUUGAGAGAACUCGGGUGAAGGAACUAGGCAAAAUGGUGCCGUAACUUCGGGAGAAGGCACGCUGAUACGUAGGUGAAGCGACUUGCUCGUGGAGCUGAAAUCAGUCGAAGAUACCAGCUGGCUGCAACUGUUUAUUAAAAACACAGCACUGUGCAAACACGAAAGUGGACGUAUACGGUGUGACGCCUGCCCGGUGCCGGAAGGUUAAUUGAUGGGGUUAGCGCAAGCGAAGCUCUUGAUCGAAGCCCCGGUAAACGGCGGCCGUAACUAUAACGGUCCUAAGGUAGCGAAAUUCCUUGUCGGGUAAGUUCCGACCUGCACGAAUGGCGUAAUGAUGGCCAGGCUGUCUCCACCCGAGACUCAGUGAAAUUGAACUCGCUGUGAAGAUGCAGUGUACCCGCGGCAAGACGGAAAGACCCCGUGAACCUUUACUAUAGCUUGACACUGAACAUUGAGCCUUGAUGUGUAGGAUAGGUGGGAGGCUUUGAAGUGUGGACGCCAGUCUGCAUGGAGCCGACCUUGAAAUACCACCCUUUAAUGUUUGAUGUUCUAACGUGGACCCGUGAUCCGGGUUGCGGACAGUGUCUGGUGGGUAGUUUGACUGGGGCGGUCUCCUCCUAAAGAGUAACGGAGGAGCACGAAGGUUGGCUAAUCCUGGUCGGACAUCAGGAGGUUAGUGCAAUGGCAUAAGCCAGCUUGACUGCGAGCGUGACGGCGCGAGCAGGUGCGAAAGCAGGUCAUAGUGAUCCGGUGGUUCUGAAUGGAAGGGCCAUCGCUCAACGGAUAAAAGGUACUCCGGGGAUAACAGGCUGAUACCGCCCAAGAGUUCAUAUCGACGGCGGUGUUUGGCACCUCGAUGUCGGCUCAUCACAUCCUGGGGCUGAAGUAGGUCCCAAGGGUAUGGCUGUUCGCCAUUUAAAGUGGUACGCGAGCUGGGUUUAGAACGUCGUGAGACAGUUCGGUCCCUAUCUGCCGUGGGCGCUGGAGAACUGAGGGGGGCUGCUCCUAGUACGAGAGGACCGGAGUGGACGCAUCACUGGUGUUCGGGUUGUCAUGCCAAUGGCACUGCCCGGUAGCUAAAUGCGGAAGAGAUAAGUGCUGAAAGCAUCUAAGCACGAAACUUGCCCCGAGAUGAGUUCU